RNAcentral lists this ribosomal RNA (406 nucleotides) under uncultured bacterium. Its description in RNAcentral is "partial 16S ribosomal RNA". It matches the Rfam family "Bacterial small subunit ribosomal RNA", at positions 30 to 526 of the family's 1533-position model. The record is from RNAcentral.
AUUGAACGCUGGCGGCAGGCCUAACACAUGCAAGUCGAGCGGGCGGCGGACGGGUGAGUUAUGUAUGGGGAUCUGCCUGAUGGAGGGGGAUAAGUACUGGAUGCGGUAGCUAAUACAGCUUAGCAUCGGAUGGACGCAUAUGGGAUGAGCUUGUAGGUGAGGUAACGGCUCACCUAGGCGACGAUCCCUAGCUGGUCUGGGAGGAUGAUCAGCCACACUGGGACUGAGACACGGCCCAGACUCCUACGGGAGGCAGCAGUGGGGAAUAUUGCACAAUGGGCGCAAGCCUGAUGCAGCCAUGCCGCGUGUAUGAAGAAGGCCUUCGGGUUGUAAAGUACUUUCAGUCGGGAGGCGUUACCGACAGAAGAAGCACCGGCUAACUCCGUGCCAGCAGCCGCGGUAAUAC